This 515-nucleotide ribosomal RNA is filed under the name uncultured bacterium. Its description in RNAcentral is "bacterial SSU rRNA". It matches the Rfam family "Bacterial small subunit ribosomal RNA", at positions 19 to 518 of the family's 1533-position model. The record is from RNAcentral.
AUGGCUCAGAUUGAACGCUGGCGGCGUGCUUAACACAUGCAAGUCGAACGCGAAAGGGACUUCGGUCCUGAGUAAAGUGGCGCACGGGUGAGUAACGCGUGGAUAAUCUGCCCUUAUGAUCGGGAUAACAGUUGGAAACGGCUGCUAAUACCGGAUACGCUCAAAAUGAACUUUUUGAGGAAAGAUGGCCUCUGCUUGCAUGCUAUCACGUAAGGAUGAGUCCGCGUCCCAUUAGCUUGUUGGCGGGGUAACGGCCACCAAGGCAACGAUGGGUAGCCGAUUUGAGAGGAUGAUCGGCCACACUGGAACUGAAACACGGUCCAGACUCCUACGGGAGGCAGCAGUGGGGAAUAUUGCGCAAUGGGCGAAAGCCUGACGCAGCGACGCCGCGUGAGGGAUGAAGGUUUUCGGAUCGUAAACCUCUGUCAGAAGGGAAGAAACUACGUUGUGCUAAUCAGCAGCGUACUGACGGUACCUUCAAAGGAAGCACCGGCUAACUCCGUGCCAGCCGCCGC